RNAcentral lists this ribosomal RNA (301 nucleotides) under uncultured bacterium. Its description in RNAcentral is "partial 16S ribosomal RNA". It matches the Rfam family "Bacterial small subunit ribosomal RNA", at positions 509 to 807 of the family's 1533-position model. The record is from RNAcentral.
CAGUAGCCACGGUAAUACGUAGGUGGCAAGCGUUGUCCGGAAUUAUUGGGCGUAAAGGGCUCGCAGGCGGUUUCUUAAGCCUGAUGUGAAAGCCCCCGGCUCAACCGGGGAGGGUCAUUGGAAACUGGGAAACUUGAGUGCAGAAGAGGAGAGUGGAAUUCCACGUGUAGCGGUGGAAUGCGUAGAGAUGUGGAGGAACACCAGUGGCGAAGGCGACUCUCUGGUCUGUAACUGACGCUGAGGAGCGAAAGCGUGGGAAGCGAACAGGAUUAGAUACCCCUGUAGUCCCUGUCUCUUAUAC